This 239-nucleotide ribosomal RNA is filed under the name uncultured bacterium. Its description in RNAcentral is "partial 16S ribosomal RNA". It matches the Rfam family "Bacterial small subunit ribosomal RNA", at positions 1252 to 1500 of the family's 1533-position model. The record is from RNAcentral.
ACCGAGCGAUCGGCANGGAACCCGAAAACCUGUCUCAGUUCGGAUUGGAGUCUGCAACUCGACUCCAUGAAGCUGGAUUCGCUAGUAAUCGCGCAUCAGCCAUGGCGCGGUGAAUACGUUCCCGGGCCUUGUACACACCGCCCGUCAAGCCAUGGGAGCCGGGGGUGCCUGAAGUACGUGACCGCGAGGAGCGUCCUAGGGCAAAACUGGUGACUGGGGCUAAGUCGUAACAAGGUAAC